RNAcentral lists this long non-coding RNA (5383 nucleotides) under Sus scrofa (pig). Its description in RNAcentral is "lncRNA (ENSSSCG00005037953.1)". The record is from RNAcentral. Lineage: Eukaryota; Metazoa; Chordata; Mammalia; Artiodactyla; Suidae.
UUUUUUUUUUGCUUUUUAGGGCCACACCUGCAGUAUAUGGAAGUUCCCAGGCCAGAGGUCCAAUGAGAGCUGUAGCUGCCGGCUUACACCACAGCCACAGCAACGCCAAGAUCCGAGGCACAUCUGUGAGCAACACCACAGCUCAUGGCAACACCAGAUCCUUGACCCACUGAGCAAAGGCAGGGAUCGAACCCCAACCUCAUGGUUCCUAGUCGGACUCAUUUCCGCUGAGCUACCACAGGAACUCUACAAGUCUCUCUCUUGAUCUUUUUUUUUUUUUUGGCCAAAGAAGCAUCCCAAGUUCCUGUCAUUCCCCUCACGGAAACAUCUCGAGUCCCAAAUUCAAAGCCCCCCAGGACAACCAGCAGCCACACCACAAAUGCCCUGCCCUGGGCUCAGUCACAGGAUGCAUCAGCCCUCAUGGCCAGGACAAGGUUCUGAGCUCCCAUUAAAGAUAAGGGGCUUAGAGUUCCCGUCAUGGCUCAGUGGUUAAAGAACCUGACUCAUAUCCAAGAGGAUGAGGGUUCGAUCCCUAGCCUUGGUCAGUGGGUUAAGGAUCUGGCAUUGCUGUGAGCUGUGGUAUAGGCCGGCAGCUGUAGCUCCGAUUCAACCCCUGGCCUGGGAACCUCCAUAUGCUGUGGGUGCGGCCCAAAAAAGACAUUAAUUAAUUAAUUAAUUAAGAUAAGGGGCUGCAUACAAGGGUCCGCUGGAAGGAUCAGAGCCACAGCCAUGCCACCUCACCCACUGGAGCUGACCCUCCAGUGACAUCCUGGAAUGAGCGGCAGGCAGCGCUACAGGCCAGGCUGGCUCACUCACCCCUUACGUGGCCCUAACUGGUUUAUGCUGGGUCUGUCUUGUCUCCCCAGCUAGAGGCUAACAGAUCCAGAAAUUCUGAUGGGCUGGGCAGACAGGUAGGAAUGGGAGUGGGGGGGCAGCCUCCACCGAGCACCAGUCACCCCCAUGUAUAGCAUCCCCGACCCUAUCACAGCCCUUGGCUCACCCAGGGCCAGCGCUAUAGGUGUGAAAUGAACACAGGAUGUAGAAGACACACCGCAAAAAGGAGUGGAAAACAUCUCAUUAACAACUUUUAUAACCAUUACACGUUAAAAUGACAACAUUCGGGGUAUAUUGGGGUAUAAUGUCAAUAAAAGACAUGAUUCAAAUUAAUUUCACCUGCUUCUUUUUUAGCUUCUGGAAAACUUUAAAGGACACACAGGGCUUGCUCUGCAUCUUUAUUGGGUGGUGCUGCCUUAGAAAAACUGCCAGUUUACACUUUCGCCUGUUUUCUUCUGAGGGUUUGGUUGUUUCGGUUCUCACAUUCAGGUCUUGGAUCUGCUAGUGUCUGUUUUGGUGCCCAGCAUGGGGCACCAUACAGAAGCUGAUGUUUCACCAGGUGACAUUUCAUGAGUGUUCUUGCCUGUCUCCCAUGGGGUCCUCCCAGGGCCACAGCUCCCUGGCACUCAAGAUCCUCCAGGUGUCUGCCAAGGGGACUGCCAAGUCUAUCACACACAUGUCACUGUCCCCACAGGGAAGACACCGGCAAUGCCAGUGGGAGGAUCAGAGCUGGCUGGGCUGGGCUUGGCGGUUGGAGGGUCUCAGGGGAGACUACAAGGAUGCUUAGAACCCAGUGGCUGCUUUCAAAGACACAAGCCACAACCCUGUCAGGGCUAAGGCCAGGCAGGCCAGGAAAGGGAAGCAGUCCAGGAGGCAGCUUGUGUGCAAACCUGCUGGCCAGACAUAUGGGGGCUGGGGGAGGGGGCAGCUCAGAAAGGAGGGCGCAUGUGGUCUAAUCCGGAGCCACGUGAAGCUCUCAGGGAGCCGGCUCCACUCGACGCAAGGACCAAGCACAGCCAACCAGGCCAGUCGGGGGCGGGGAUCACACCAGGCAGGCAGGAAACAGGACACCCCUUCUGGCCUUGGCCCUGGUGGACUUCAAGGCAGGGAGGGCCCGGCCCCGCCCAUCAGGGAACAUACAGGAAACAGACAAGCCGGAGGAGCGGGUUGUCAGGGCCACCCUGCUCCUGGGGUGGACACAGGAGAGGUCCUGCUGGGGACCCACCAGGCAAGGCUGGGCCAGCACAGCCCACCCCAUGUGGACCCUGCCCGGCUCCAGAUGGAGGAAGAGGAGGGUGCGGAGAGGCAGGCAUAAGCACUGAACUAUGGAGCCCAGAACCUGUGCGACCAAAAAGGGUGGCCUGAGCACCUCCUAUAGGCAAGCGGGGCAGCACAUGUGACAGCAGCUCCUCACUGACCCUGGCCUCCUCUCUGAUGCCUCCUACCCCAGCCCCCAAGAUCUAACCCCACAAAGGGUUUUUGGGUGGCUUCUGCCCUGGGGCCCGGCUGGCUGAGCAUUCUGCACCGCAGCCCUGGAAUCCUGGAACUCUGUGACUGGGCAAAGAAGAGGCAGGGAGAAAUAGAAAUUACUAGAUCCACAGCAGCCAGUGGAUACACAUGUCCACCCACACACUGGAAUAUCACUUGGCCAUGAAGAGGAGCCAGGCAUCAACACUCACUACCACAGGGGUGAACCCUGAAAAACAUGAUGCUCAGUGAGAGAAGCUAGACGCAGUAGGCUGCAGAGGACGCGAGUCCCUGGAUGAGAAACAUCCAGAACAGGCAGAGUCACAGAGCUAGAGAGUAGAUUCAUGGUUGCCAAGGAGGAGGGGGGAAUGGGGAGUGGCUCUCUAACAGGUAUGGGCUUCCCUUUUGGGGUGACAAAAAAGGUCUGGAAUUUACUAGAGGUGAGAUUGCAAAACUCUGUAAAUGUUCUAAAAACCACUGAACUGUCCCCUUUGAAAGGAUGAAUGUUAUGGUUUAUGAAUACGGCAACUUAAUAUAUUUUUUAAAAAGCAGAGCAGGAUGGAAGUUCCCUGGUGGUCUAGGGAUUAGGAUUCAGCGCUUUCACCUUGGCAGCCCAGGUUCGAUCCCUGGUCUGGGAACUGAAAUUCCACAUCAAGCUGCUGCACGCCAUGGCCAAAAAUAAAAUAAAAAAUGUAGAGCAGGACAUUUUAAGAGGGGCUGUCCUAGAAAACUCAAGGGUCUGGUCAGUCAGCACACUGGAGCCAACUGCUGAGCAGCUAUGGCUCCUCCAUGGCUCCCCUGUGACUGGAACAACUCUGGACCGGCCUCACUGACUAGACUCUAUGCCCCCGAGGGCAGAGCUGCGGCCCCCUCCCCUCACCCCUGAAGCCUGGCGCAGGGGGUUCCAAAGGUGUCCAAGGCACGGGAGCUUCCCUUGGCUUCCCCUGCCUCCCCCAGGUGGGUCUCCUGGACCACGGCCCUGAGGGCCACUUCCUGCUCCACCUGCUGCUCACCUCGCCCAGGACCACGAGGCUCGGCCCACAUGGCCACGCUUGUGCCACCCCCUAGCCACCACUAGAGCCAGCAAGUGCUGCCCCAGGGCCUGUGCAUCCAUGGACUUGGUUUGCAUCUGUCUCAGCAAUUCUGUCCCCGGCCCCUGCCAUCUGGUUACUCUCGGGAGGCCUGCUCCACGCUUCCACCAUGCUACAGGCUGUGACCCUCACAGGCAGGCUCACCUGGCCAUGCACAUGCAGACUAGACAACUACUGUCACCCUCAGCUGGGUGACAGCAGACGCGCACCGCCGGGACGAGGCAUGGCGCAUGUCCGACGGCCAUGUGUCUGCUGUAAAGCUAGACCCGGUGGCUGGUGAAACCAAGCUGCUGACCACCAGGCCAAGAGACACAUGAGGGGCCUUUAAGGGUUCCUGAUUCCGCAUCUUUGCCUUGACACUGGCAGAGAGGACAGCUGGACAUUUGCAGAGGCCACUCUGCCCUCACUCCCCCCCCCGGGAAGCCUGGCCCUGCGGCUGGCUCAUCCACCAGUCAUGCAACCACUUUUCUGACCACUUUUCUUUCUGAAGGGUCCGGCAAUGAGAGCUGGACGUGCAGGGGGGCCAGUUUCUCCAUGAGGACACUACCCCUUGGGCUCCAGCUCAGAAGAGGCUCAGGCUGCCCAUAGAGCAGCCAGGCGGCCCCGAAAGCCUGUGGCUCCACACGCCGCCCACCUCAGCAGCGAAACCAGACGCCUUCCUUCCCAAGGGGGUGUCAGAGGACUCGGUUCCUCCAAUGAGUCCUCCACCGGCUCCCUCCUCUUCCUUGGGGGAGAAAGCUGGAAUGAAGCAGUGAAUCAGGAGUUUAAACUCCAGGGCCUUUGCUCACACGCAAGCUGGAGACGGCAAGCCUCUCUCAACUCGUGACCGAAAUAAUCAGAUCCAUGCAGCUCCAGGCCCGAGGGAGGCGGCCUGCCCACGGGGGCUGGCCUUGCUGAUGGAGGGGGCCUGAAAGGACGGAACAAGGAUCUGAAGGGGGCAGGGGCAGCUCCCGGUCCAGCCACCCAGCCAGGGCCCCGCACACAUCCUGGGGCAGCUCCUGGGCUGCCCCUUUCCAAAUGGGCUGCCCAGACUGGCCAGGGCCCCGAGCUCUAGUCACACACAUAGCCUGUCUCCACCCCACUCAUGGUCUGGGGAGCUCCUGUCGUCACUGCGCCUGCUGGCUCUCGCUUAAAGGAGGCCUCCAGGAUCCAUCCUCUCCUUCUUCUGCACAAAGCAAAAUUCCGGAUCCCCUGCCAGCUCAUCUUCCAUGCAUCCUCUCCCCUGAGACCCAAGCAAGCAGCCAUGAUACCACCAAAGGGGGCCUACCUCUGCCCCUACCUGUCCCAAAGGUGCCCUCUCUUGGGGGCAACUGCAAACAUGGAAAGGAAAUGGGUCCUGGAACAAGGCCUGCCUACCCUACCCCCAGAUCACCUCUUCACACAUCACCUUUCCUCCCCGUACGGGUUGUCUGAGAAAAGGAACUGUGAUCACUAGUCCCGGCAACUGGGGCCAAACCUACGUCAGCUACAAUUCUGCUCUGCACCCAGAGACCCAUGCAGGACGCAGCAGCUCUUGGUGCUUUGCUUUCCGAUAUAUAUAUAUACAUGUGUGUGUAUAUAUGUGUAUAUAUAUAUACAUGUGUGUGUAUGUUGUAUAUAUAUAUACGUGUGUGUGUAUGUGUGUAUAUAUAUACAUGUGUGUGUAUACAUGUGUAUAUAUUGUGUGUGUAUACAUGUGUAUAUAUAUAUACAUGUGUGUGUAUAUAUGUGUGUAUAUACACACACACACACACACACACAACACAUAUUCCAUUAUAGGUUACCACAAGGGUCAAACCCACACCAUACCAGUAACCAGAGUCAGCAGUAACGACACGGAGUCCUUAACCCACUGAGCCUCCAGGGAACUCCUGCUUUCUGAUUCUUAUUCUUUGUCCACUGAACAAACAUACCCAAGGCCAAGGGCUCAGAGAGAUUCCAAGUGACCACUGCCAGAGCCACAGAUCAGCCAUGGGGCAAAGACAGCAAUGCAAACUCUUCAUCAGUAUCCU